Molecule: long non-coding RNA, 581 nt
Filed under: Pongo abelii (Sumatran orangutan)
Lineage: Eukaryota; Metazoa; Chordata; Mammalia; Primates; Hominidae
Description: lincRNA
Source: RNAcentral
CCUGACAUGGAUUAUAACUGUACUUGACGGAGCACAGUUAUAAUAGCUGCUUUAGAGUCCUUGAUAAUUCCCACAUCUGAAUCAUCUCAAGUUAUUUUUGGUAGAUUUUGAUGGAUGUACAUUGAUGGAUAGCCACAUGGAUCCAGAAAAUAAAGACUUCUACUGUGCAUAUUGACUAAAGCAAAAGAUAUGCAAGGAAGCUCAGUCUCUCAGUUGAGUGGAUUCUGAAAUUUAUCCUGUUGUCUUCAGCUACUAAGGCUAAUUUGCAAAUCACACUGUGCACGGAAUGUGUGUGUCCCACCCCUGCAGUACUUCAGCAUUCUGAGGUAAAAAGACAAUUGGCUUACUGCAUCUUAGAAAGGUUUAUUGAUUUUGUUAUUGCUACAACUAUCAUGGGAGCAGAGGCAGCAAUUUCUCAAGCCUAGUUCCAAAAGGAUUAAACCUGACCAAGAUUUAUAAACAACCUGUUCAGUGGCUGCUGAUUAACUCCCAAAGAUUGAUGUACUGAAGAAGGAUGACCUCCCCUUGACACCAAUGCUACUAGUCAAUAGCAACCACUGUGACUCGGAACAAAUUCUCUG